This 649-nucleotide unclassified non-coding RNA is filed under the name Hevea brasiliensis (rubber tree). Lineage: Eukaryota; Viridiplantae; Streptophyta; Magnoliopsida; Malpighiales; Euphorbiaceae. The record is from RNAcentral.
UAAACCAUUAGAAAUUAUCAUAAAAAAAACACAUCAAUAUAUGCAAAAUCCAUCACAAUUGCACCAUACAAGCUUGUAGAAGUAAGUUCUGCAUAAGAGACAUUUGUGAAUUAUGCCAUUUCAACUCAAACCCUGCAAAUUAACAUUCUAGCACAUUAAAGCUCAAUAAAAAUCUGCACAAAGUUGUACUUAUCAGCAAAAGAAAAUAGGCUCCUCAAGUUAUGCCAAUAAAAUGCAGCAUGUGCACAUUGAAUCACACAACCCAAAUAAGUUCAAAACCACUAAAAUGACCCACUUACCAUCAUAUUAACAUGAUAAGCACAGAUAUUUAAAAGAUAUAUGCCCAACCUCAACAAAGAAGCAAAUAGCAUAUGCUGCAGACCCUUUUUGCUGAAAAUUUUUUUCUGCAUAAGCCAAGAAGGGGUCCUGCACAGGAAGCAAUGAAAAUAAAUCAAUCUCAGAAGAGUUAAUGGAUAAAAUAUCAGAUUAAGAGUUACUCCCCAGCAGUGCAACAACCUUCAUCCAUUGAAAUACAUAUAUAAAAGACAAAAUUUGACAAUGUCAAAAAUUGAAUUUGAGAAGAUUUAAGACAAAAACAAAAGUAAUGCAAAUAAAAGUAAAUCAACAAAAGCAAAAUAAAAGAACUUGG